Molecule: ribosomal RNA, 497 nt
Filed under: uncultured bacterium
Lineage: Bacteria
Description: partial 16S ribosomal RNA
Rfam family: Bacterial small subunit ribosomal RNA
Source: RNAcentral
GACGAACGCUGGCGGCGUGCCUAAUACAUGCAAGUUGAGCGCUGAAGGUUGGUACUUGUACCGACUGGAUGAGCAGCGAACGGGUGAGUAACGCGUGGGGAAUCUGCCUUUGAGCGGGGGACAACAUUUGGAAACGAAUGCUAAUACCGCAUAAAAACUUUAAACACAAGUUUUAAGUUUGAAAGAUGCAAUUGCAUCACUCAAAGAUGAUCCCGCGUUGUAUUAGCUAGUUGGUGAGGUAAAGGCUCACCAAGGCGAUGAUACAUAGCCGACCUGAGAGGGUGAUCGGCCACAUUGGGACUGAGACACGGCCCAAACUCCUACAGGAGGCAGCAGUAGGGAAUCUUCGGCAAUGGACGAAAGUCUGACCGAGCAACGCCGCGUGAGUGAAGAAGGUUUUCGGAUCGUAAAACUCUGUUGGUAGAGAAGAACGUUGGUGAGAGUGGAAAGCUCAUCAAGUGACGGUAACUACCCAGAAAGGGACGGCUAACUACGUG